This is a long non-coding RNA of Falco peregrinus (peregrine falcon), 990 nucleotides long. RefSeq lists it as uncharacterized. The record is from RefSeq and is a predicted model, not a curated record. Lineage: Eukaryota; Metazoa; Chordata; Aves; Falconiformes; Falconidae. The transcript is spliced from 2 exons.
ACCGCCCCUCGCGCCGCCCAUUGGACGGCGCCCCGCCGACCCCUAUGCUGAUUGGCCACCCCUCUUGCUCGUCUUCUCCCUCCGCUCACCUUUCCGCCCCUACACGCUGCCUAUUGGGAAGAGCCUCGGAGAUCUCUCCGCCCAUUAGCCACGGCCCACGUCAAUCACAGCAGAACACCCGCCUCUCAACGCGUCUAAUUGGGCUGUCGAGUCACUACAGCUUCACUGAUUGGCUGCACUGGCUGACUGUCAUCAGUUAAAAUUGCCCCCUUAGCAACCCUCACUAGCUCCCACCCCUUCUUCCUUUCUGCCAGUUGGCUGCGAGAUUUGCGCCUUAAAUGGGGCACCAGCGCGCCCGCCCCUACUUGCCCCGUACGGAUUGGGUUGAGGGUCGCACCCUCGGACACCAUUGGAGAAGGGAUGUGCCCGUUACACCGUAGCGGCGCGAAGAUCCGCCCACCGAGCUGCUCUCCUUGGCGGCCUCUUCGCGGCGACGUUGGGGCCCUUCUCAGCCGAAGCGGGAGGGGAGGCUACGUCAGGGUGCCUACUUCACUUGCCGGCCCCAAGGGCGGGGCACUGUGACGGGCAUACGUGAUACCGAAUCCGGCCGCGGUUGUCGCCGCUCUGCGGCACCAAGUGCCCCCGCCGCGGAACGGCAAUAACGCCACACUCCCUACCGACCCCAACGACAUUUACCACUUGCCCCGCCCCUCCCUUCACGGGUAUGCCCGCCCUGAAACAACUAUUGGGCAGGGAAGAUGUCGGUCGUGCUGCUCACUAGGCCAUUGGCGGGACGCCGGCGCCUCCGCAGCCAACUGGCAGCCGCCCCCGAUGUCAGCCGCCGGAUGACACAGCAACCACUUCUCUGCGCUGAAUAUGACUUACAAUUUUCAGAUGGAAGCAAUCGGAAAACCUGUGAAAAUCGCUUUUGCAGUGACUACAAUAUAAUUCGUCAAUGUAAUUGUUAAAAAUAAACACUGAUCUUCCGUA